Long non-coding RNA from Mercurialis annua (annual mercury), 867 nucleotides. RefSeq lists it as uncharacterized. NCBI's taxonomy places the organism in Eukaryota, Viridiplantae, Streptophyta, Magnoliopsida, Malpighiales, Euphorbiaceae. The transcript is spliced from 2 exons. The record is from RefSeq and is a predicted model, not a curated record.
UGCUUAAUUUCCUCCAUUGAUUAUAUGACCAGCUAUUUAUUCUGCCGGUGACAUAUUUAAGUCACAGUCAUCUCUUAUGUCUUUUCCCUUGUUCUAACAGUGUAGUCUGUCAUCAUCUUUUUCACCUGACUAAACUAUUUCUCCUAUCUACAGUACCACGAGCGUUCAUCGCUCUCUGCCUUUGAUUUUUCAAUUGGGGACCUCCCCAAAUUUAACCAGUUCAGUACAAUCAAACGACUUCAUCUGCCCCGGGCCAGUUGGAUCAUGAGAUAUCUUUGAUUUUCUUUUUUAGAUUUAUUCCUAUUGAUGGAGGGGAAGCACUUUUGGAAGAUCGAAGAACUCUCUACCCAUUGGCAAAUUUCUCAGUGUGCUCUCGUGGGUGCAUUGGAGAUGUCCAUGUAUAUCAGUUGGUUAGAGUUUUUUCAACGGGCAAUUACCAGACGGCAUGAAUAGCUUCAGACAUUGAAAUGGUUUUGGGAUGAGGAAUGAAAUCACGUGGAAAAGGUGAGCUUUGAAAUUGAGUUAGCUGCCAUUGUCAAUCAAUGAAUUUCCAGUUAGCGAUGAAAGUGGUUGUUUUGAGAUGUGCAGGCUCCAUAUGGCCCUCCAUGAGUGAUGUUACAUGUGGUCUUCGUUUUCCUGGACAACGUUUUUGAGUAAUAAGAGGAAGCUUAUUAUGUUCAGAGUAUAAACGCAUCUGCUGGUGUUGUUUGCAUUAUUGAAUUUUAUUUAUCAUGACUCCUUCAUUCUUGUUUUUUUAUUUUCAUUUAGUAGGCUAUUCUCCCUUUGAGGGGUAAAAUUCUAAAUGUAGAAAGAAAAGAUGAAACUACAAUGUACAAGAAUCAAAAAAUUCAAAAUCUGUUUCUAAAA